UCUGCAUGGUGCUGAUGCUGAGGGCCAGGCUGGGUACAUGAUCUGCUGAUUCAGUUGCCAGAGAAGAACUCCCAGCUAUUUUUUACUACUGACCAGCACAAGCUCAAUGGCUUGGGCACCCAGACCACUCAGGACCUGGGGGAGGCCCGAUCACCUGUUGCCAUGCAGAAGCAGACCCAGGAGAGGUGCUGGGCCCAGAGUGAGACUCUCAGCCAGGAUACUACAGCAGCUGUGGUGGGUCACGUGUUCUUCAGAGGUGAGAGGUCAUCCCGACGUCAGCCUCCACCGUGCCCCAGUCUCACUCCCUGCAGCAAACGGAGGCUCCUGUGCUGAGUGACGGGUCCAGCCAUACUUACAAGAGGAGCAGGCAUGGGUCUCAGUCACUCAGCGCUGUCUUCAACCUUGUCAUCCAAGAGAAGCGAUGCACAUCUCAGCAGAGAAGGCUGACAAUGGUGUCCCCAACUCACAGAUGAGAGAAUUAUAUUUUAUUGUCUUGCUGCUUUGAGACAGGGCCCUGAGAUGCUGCAACCUAAGCUGCUGCCUCUGCCUUCUAAGAGAUGGAUUAUAGGUGCGAGUCACCACGCCCAGAAAGAUUUUUUCUUUUUAAAAUAAUAGACGUGUGUGUGUGUGUGUGUGUGUGUGUGUGUGUGUGUGUGUACACAUGUACCUGUCAUGGCACAUGAGGAAGUCAGAGGACAACUUUUGAAGUCAGCUCUCACCACCCACCUUGUCAUGCUGGGUCUCUUGUUUCUGCCCCUGCAUGCAGUACUCCAGGCUUUCUGGCCCAGAGCUUCCAGCAGAUCCUCCUGUCUCCACCCCCAUCUUGUCCAGGAAGUGCCAGAAUUAAAGAAGCACCAGGCAUUUUGAGGUUUCAGGGAUCGAACUCGGACUUUCAAGCUUGUGCAGCAAGUACUUUUUCCUACUGAGCCAUUUUUCCGGCACUAGGAUGCAGAAUCUUAGACACCGAGAAAGGGAGUUUACUUGCUCUAUCAAGCGUCACUUGAGUAUGCACCUGUGGGUAAUUAUGGGACUCAUGUUUAAGAAAGCUCACACCGGCAACUACAUCCACAGUGAAACUCUUA
This is a long non-coding RNA of Arvicola amphibius (Eurasian water vole), 1082 nucleotides long. RefSeq lists it as uncharacterized. The transcript has 2 exons. Lineage: Eukaryota; Metazoa; Chordata; Mammalia; Rodentia; Cricetidae. The record is from RefSeq and is a predicted model, not a curated record.